This 445-nucleotide ribosomal RNA is filed under the name uncultured bacterium. RNAcentral's name for it is "partial 16S ribosomal RNA". It matches the Rfam family "Bacterial small subunit ribosomal RNA", at positions 354 to 796 of the family's 1533-position model. The record is from RNAcentral.
GUGAGGAAUAUUGCGCAAUGGAGGCAACUCUGACGCAGCCAUGCCGCGUGCAGGAAGAAGGCGCUACGCGUUGUAAACUGCUUUUAACCGGGAAGAAACCCCAGGACGUGUCCUGGGUUGACGGUACCGGAGGAAUAAGCACCGGCUAACUUCGUGCCAGCAGCCGCGGUAAUACGAAGGGUGCAAGCGUUAUCCGGAUUCAUCGGGUUUAAAGGGUGCGUAGGCGGAGCGUUAAGUCAGUGGUGAAAUCCUGCAGCUUAACUGUAGACUUGCCAUUGAUACUGGCGCUCUUGAGUGCGCUUGAAGUGGGCGGAAUGUGCCGUGUAGCGGUGAAAUGCUUAGAUAUGGCACAGAACACAAAUUGCGAAGGCAGCUCACUAAGGCGAUACUGACGCUGAGGCACGAAAGCGUGGGGAUCGAACAGGAUUAGAUACCCCAGUAGUCC